AGCGAGCGCCGGCGCCUCCAGCAUGGAGUGGGAACUCAACUUGCUGCUCUACCUGGCGCUCUUCUUCUUCCUGCUCUUCUUACUUUUCCUCCUGCUCUUCGUGGUCAUCAAGCAGCUGAAGAACUCCGUGGCCAACACGGCCGGGGCGCUCCAGCCCGGGCGCCUCUCGGUGCACCGCGAGCCUUGGGGCUUCUCCCGAGAGCAAGCGGUGUGACCCGAGUGCGGGCACUGGCGGGAGGGCACCGAGCUGCGCGGGCGCUGGGCUGGGUCUCCGCCUCGAUUCUCCGUCCUCGCGGCCUCCCAGCUUCCAGAGCCGAGCUGCUGCCCUUGACUGGUGCUCAGGGGACCACAGCUGCAAUGACAGUUUGGGCCUGCAAAAAGAAGGCUGGAACAACGGGAGAUGGAAGCUUUCUGCAAAUGCAGCACCACUGGUAUCCAUGAAUUUAACCUGCCCAUCAUUCUUCCUAGACAAGAGACUAUUGAAAAGUCAGGGUGUUCAAAAUGGCUUCAGAUCUUGUCAGGACAAUCUUGGUUGUUGCACUAAUUUCCAAACUUGUAAGUGCAAUGGAUCUGCAGUUCUACUUGGCAAGAUAACCAUUUUAAGUUGAAUGAGAAUGACAUCACACUCACACCUGCAAAAUCUAAAAUGUCUAAUAAAGUAGAUUCCUAUGUCUGAACUUCAAUUUUAGGGCACAGCUGUAGAUGCAGAACUGAUGCCAUCUGGUGCGAUUCUACAGAAUAAGAGAGAAAAUUUACCCAGAGUGUGCCAUGCACUGGCUUUUCUGGGAAUGGCAAGGUGCCAGGAUUUGUUUUUGGUUCGCUUGCAGGGGUGGAAACUUGGAACUAGGUUCCAAGAUGGUCCCCGCAGUACCCCACAAGAAGAAGGAGGAAGCCCACAGAGAAAGCGGAGCAUGCCAGUUCAAAUCCACUUCCUUUUAAAGAGCUUCCUCAGCAGCCCAAUAACUUUUGCCUUCAUCUCAUUGGCCAGAACUGUGUCAUUGGCUACUGCUAUCUGCAAGAUUGUCUGAGAAAUGUAGUUUUUGUAGCUGGAUAUAUAACUGCCUUUGACAAAAAUCCAGUUUCUCUUGAUGAGGAAGAAGAUGGUGGUGGAUCUUGGGAGGACAACUAACAUUUUAUGCCCUGGCUACAAAAUACAGUUGCAGAGGAGCAUAAAGUUCAAAAAGAUCAAAACUCUAGUUCCUUCACAACUGUCAAAGCUCCAAGCAGCACUGCUCCCCUCUGACAGAGUGAGCAGAGUGAAGGCAUGUCAGGUGUUCUCACAAAACUCUUGACAGGGCUGACCUCUCUCAGUCAAUAUCCUUGUCUCACAUCAGGAUUUUCUAGAGGGCCCUGGGUACCUGUGCACUUCCUUGGUGGCUAUAACCUCUUUGUGGAGGGUUGGUGUAGGAUAAAGAAUGUUCUAUUACACUGCUCCCUCAUCUGCAUCAUUUCUCUCCUCUCUAAUUUUCCUGUCAGUUAUAUUUUGGUGGAGUCUGGGUUUGUGUAUUUGAUUCCUAUAAAAAGACCAUCGCUUUCAUGCAUGGAGGAGGGGAAUCUACGCAAAGAAAGGCUACCUUACUCCUUUCUGUGACUCCACCACCAGUCUAGGAAUAUCCUGGGAGAAGAAUUGCCUCUCAAAGCUGCUUCUAUAAGCAGCCUACAUCCUAGCUAAGCAAAGAAGAAACACUUCCCACAUCUAGGGCUGUCUAAAAGAACUUUCUGUGAUGACAGAAAUGUUCUAUAUCUGCAGUGUCCAAUAUGGUAACCAUAUAGGCACAUGUGGCUAGUGAACACUUGAAAUGUGGCUAGUGUGACUGAGGAAGGAAAAUUUAAAUUUUGUUUAAUUGUAAUUAAUUUAAAUUCAGAUAGCCAAAUGGGGCUACUAGCUAUUGUGUUAGAUAGCACGGUAUACUUUAUUCUCUUUCUUGUGUUGUAGAACCAGCUGGGAGAGGUGUGGGUCAGUCAUGGGCUUGAUAUCCCCUGGUCUUCACUAUUCUAGCUUGCCAUUGAAUUUGUCUCCCAGAGGAAAAAAAAGAAUGGUAUUUGGAAUUAAAUUCAAGAUGUUAACUUGACAUCUAUAUAUUGCACAUAUUCCUGUAUAGUGAAUGGAUGAUCUCCUGGGAAUAGUUCCUGUGACUGAUUUUAGUGAUAAUUGAUCAUGAAGAAAUGGCAGUACUGCUCCACUUCACCUUCCUAGUGACUAUUAUGUGUUCCUAGUCAGAGUGACUCAGCAGAGAUUAUUUUGUUCUCUUGUGCAAUUUAUUCUGUGUCAUUUUAUUUUUGUAAUAUUGUGGCAGCUAAAUGAUUAUUCUGUGUAUGUUUUUCAAAAUAUUAGGUGGCUUAUAUUUUUUAAAAGGCUAUGAAAUAAAAAUAAACUAUAUGUAACACA
RNAcentral lists this small RNA (2389 nucleotides) under Pan troglodytes (chimpanzee). Its description in RNAcentral is "retained intron". Lineage: Eukaryota; Metazoa; Chordata; Mammalia; Primates; Hominidae. The record is from RNAcentral.